AACAUUCAUUGUGUUAUUGCAUUAAUACAGUUUAAACAGUAGAUAUUUGGGGGAAGUUACUAACAUAAAAGUGGAAUAUUGGAAUAUGUCUGACAAGAGGAACAGUCCUGCCCAGUGUGAAAGCCAACACACACAGCCUUACACACUCAGCUCCCUGUAUUCUACAGCUGCACUGCUACAGCUUCACCUAGAGGGGGCGAUAGAAACAACCAGAUUUAAGGGACAGGACAAACAAGACCAAUGACAGACAACACAUCUUAUCUGAAAGGCUCUCCUGACAUAGCUGUCCCAAUAGAGUCACUAUGAUCCAGAAACUGACUGGCCAUAGGACAUUUUGGAGCCAGAUGGACCGGUCCAUCUUUAAGCACAGUGGGCUGGCCUAAAUUGGGUGUUUGCAAAGAACAACUGUUUUGGGGGCGGGGGGGGUAGUGUGUAUGAAAAUACAUGUAAAUGUUGAAAAGAAAAACAGUCACAUUAUCAAUCAUCACAGAUCACUGCACCUGUACAUAGCCCAUCUGUAAAUAGCCCAUCCAACUACCUCAUCCCCAUACUGUAUUUAUUUAUUUAUCUUGAUCCUUUGCACCCCAGUAUCUCUACUUGCACAUUCAUCUUUUGCACAUCUAUCACUCCAGUGUUUAAUUGCUAUAUUGUAAUUACUUUGCCACCAUGGCCUAUUUAUUGCCUUACCUCUCUUAUCAUACCUCAUUUGCACACACUGUAUAUAGACUUUUUGUACUGAAUUAUUGACUGUAUGUUUGUUUAUUCCAUGUGUAACUCUGUGUUGUUGUAUGUGUCGAACUGCUUUGCUUUAUCUUGGCCAGGUCGCAGUUGUAAAUGAGAAUGUGUUCUCAACUAGCCUACCUGGUUAAAUAAAGGUGUUCUCAACUAGCCUACCUGGUUAAAUAAAGGUGUUCUCAACUAGCCUACCUGGUUAAAUAAAGGUGUUCUCAACUAGUCUAGCUGGU
Oncorhynchus tshawytscha (Chinook salmon) is the source of this 965-nucleotide long non-coding RNA. Lineage: Eukaryota; Metazoa; Chordata; Actinopteri; Salmoniformes; Salmonidae. The record is from Ensembl.